ACCUGACUGGCUCAGUCAGUAGAGCCUGAGACUUUUAAUCUUGAGGUUGUGGGUUCAAGCCCCACACUAGGUG
This 73-nucleotide transfer RNA is filed under the name Canis lupus familiaris (dog). It matches the Rfam family "tRNA". Rfam says of the family: Transfer RNA (tRNA) molecules are approximately 80 nucleotides in length. Their secondary structure includes four short double-helical elements and three loops (D, anti-codon, and T loops). Further hydrogen bonds mediate the characteristic L-shaped molecular structure. tRNAs have two regions of fundamental functional importance: the anti-codon, which is responsible for specific mRNA codon recognition, and the 3' end, to which the tRNAs corresponding amino acid is attached (by aminoacyl-tRNA synthetases). tRNAs cope with the degeneracy of the genetic code in two manners: having more than one tRNA (with a specific anti-codon) for a particular amino acid; and 'wobble' base-pairing, i.e. permitting non-standard base-pairing at the 3rd anti-codon position. The record is from Rfam by way of RNAcentral. Lineage: Eukaryota; Metazoa; Chordata; Mammalia; Carnivora; Canidae. RNAcentral also lists the same sequence under 2 other names.